UGCCAGCCGCCGCGGUAAUACGGAGGGUGCGAGCGUUAAUCGGAAUUACUGGGCGUAAAGCGCGCGUAGGCGGUUUGGUAAGUCAGAUGUGAAAGCCCCGGGCUCAACCUGGGAACUGCAUUUGAUACUGCCAGGCUAGAGUAUGGUAGAGGGAAGUGGAAUUCCACAUGUAGCGGUGAAAUGCGUAGAGAUGUGGAGGAACACCAGUGGCGAAGGCGGCUUCCUGGACCAAUACUGACGCUGAGGUGCGAAAGCGUGGGGAGCAAACAGGAUUAGAUA
RNAcentral lists this ribosomal RNA (279 nucleotides) under uncultured bacterium. Its description in RNAcentral is "partial 16S ribosomal RNA". It matches the Rfam family "Bacterial small subunit ribosomal RNA", at positions 506 to 784 of the family's 1533-position model. The record is from RNAcentral.